UACGAGGGGGGCAAGCGUUGUUCGGAAUUAUUGGGCGUAAAGGGCGCGUAGGCGGUGCGGUAAGUCACCUGUGAAAACUCUGGGCUCAACUCAGAGCCUGCAGGCGAAACUGCCGUGCUUGAGUGUGGGAGAGGUGCGUGGAAUUCCCGGUGUAGCGGUGAAAUGCGCAGAUAUCGGGAAGAACACCUAUGGCGAAGGCAGCUCUCUGGGACGGUACUGACGCUGAGACGCGAAAGCGUGGGGAGCGAACAGG
Molecule: ribosomal RNA, 253 nt
Filed under: uncultured bacterium
Lineage: Bacteria
Description: partial 16S ribosomal RNA
Rfam family: Bacterial small subunit ribosomal RNA
Source: RNAcentral